GGGGCUGAACUGGUAUCGACCUUGAUUGACCGAUGUAGGAGAAGCGAGCCGAGGACUCCCGGUGUGACCUCGUUAAUCCUCUGGGAAAAAUAUAACUGCCGCUGCUUAAUCGCACGGUCGCCAUCACCUAAUCGAUGGUCGUCAGCCCGACAUGAGCCUGCGAUGUCGGGGUCUGGCGUCGCUUAGCAGGCUUACCCCCCGGAACACGCUCUGGGUGAUGGGGGGAACAUCUUUCAGAGCUAGGAGAUGAUCGCUGCUGUUCGUGGGCCGGUCAUCUCCGAAACCUGACCACGAACUGCGCUCGGAGAAGUCCUACGUUGGGAUUGAGGGACCCGGGUUCGAUUCCCGGCAGCUCCACUC
This 360-nucleotide transfer-messenger RNA is filed under the name Actinomycetota bacterium. It matches the Rfam family "transfer-messenger RNA". Rfam says of the family: Bacterial tmRNA, also known as 10Sa RNA or SsrA, is named for its dual tRNA and mRNA-like properties. Its role is to liberate the mRNA from a stalled ribosome. The record is from RNAcentral. Lineage: Bacteria; Bacillati; Actinomycetota.